This is a long non-coding RNA of Nothoprocta perdicaria, 683 nucleotides long. RefSeq lists it as uncharacterized. The record is from RefSeq and is a predicted model, not a curated record. The transcript has 2 exons. Lineage: Eukaryota; Metazoa; Chordata; Aves; Tinamiformes; Tinamidae.
AAUGGGGAGCCCAGGCAGCCARCUCAGUUUAGAUGUCUGGACUAGCUGCCCAGCAAGUGGAGAAGAAGUAUUUGCAUACAGCCUACGAUAAGCACCAUCUCCUGCUGGMUUCCAGGUCUUGAUGGAGUUAUGACUCAUUGGGAGCGAUUUUGCUCCUUAUUUUGGACAGAAACCAAGACCACCAUGUCUCUCAGGUGGACAUACCAAAAUCUCUGCGUUUGCUGGCAAAAAUCGUAGCAGUUCAUCAUUUUGUUUGGAAUAAGUGUCUGUACCUGAGAGAGGAGCUGUGUAUGGACUUUCUGUGCUCUUACCCUUGGGAUCUUGGCCUGCCAGUACCCUCCGUGCACGGGGAAACUGAAAGUGCUAAUGCUGUGCAUUGACAUGGGACAGCUGGCAUCUUGCAAAGUGCACCACUGGAAUAUAGUUUAUCUUCUUGCUUCUCAUUUCCUGUGGCCUGUCUGCCUGUCCUCGUAGUUUCUCUAGCUGUAAAUCCUUGAAGCGUGGAAACACUUACAAAAAUAUGCAUAUAGUGUCUUAAUAGCAUGGUAGCUGAUCUAUGCCAGAUGUUCCUGAAUGCUGCAAUGAAAUAGACAAAUAUUUGAAGUGUGGGGUCACUCUAAUAUAAAUGAGGGCCAAAAUCAGCAUCUGUCUUAACCCUUGGUCUUCAUUUGCUUCACUUUUCA